RNAcentral lists this ribosomal RNA (114 nucleotides) under Pogona vitticeps (central bearded dragon). Lineage: Eukaryota; Metazoa; Chordata; Lepidosauria; Squamata; Agamidae. The record is from RNAcentral.
UUCUAAUAUUACCCUGAACACUCCCAAUCUUGUCUGAUUUUUGAAGCUAUGCAGGUUUGGGCCAGGUUCCUACCUGGAUGGGAAACCAUCAAAGAACUCCAGGGAUCUCUGAGU